This 441-nucleotide ribosomal RNA is filed under the name uncultured bacterium. Its description in RNAcentral is "partial 16S ribosomal RNA". It matches the Rfam family "Bacterial small subunit ribosomal RNA", at positions 338 to 795 of the family's 1533-position model. The record is from RNAcentral.
CCUACGGGAGGCAGCAGUGGGGGAUAUUGCACAAUGGGGGGAACCCUGAUGCAGCGACGCCGCGUGGGUGAAGGAGUAUUUCGGUAUGUAAAGCCCUAUCGGCAGGGAAGAAUUUAGACGGUACCUGACUAAGAAGCCCCGGCUAACUACGUGCCAGCAGCCGCGGUAAUACGUAGGGGGCAAGCGUUAUCCGGAUUUACUGGGUGUAAAGGGAGCGUAGACGGCUGCGCAAGUCUGAAGUGAAAGCCCGGGGCUCAACCCCGGGACUGCUUUGGAAACUGUGUAGCUAGAGUGCUGGAGAGGCAAGCGGAAUUCCUAGUGUAGCGGUGAAAUGCGUAGAUAUUAGGAAGAACACCAGUGGCGAAGGCGGCUUGCUGGACAGUAACUGACGUUGAGGCUCGAAAGCGUGGGGAGCAAACAGGAUUAGAUACCCCAGUAGUC